UCCCAUCUAUUCUAAGGGC
This 19-nucleotide unclassified non-coding RNA is filed under the name Mus musculus (house mouse). Its description in RNAcentral is "oocyte_clustered_small_RNA12335". The record is from RNAcentral. Lineage: Eukaryota; Metazoa; Chordata; Mammalia; Rodentia; Muridae.